UGAGCUUGAUCCUGGCUCAGGAUGAACGCUAGCGGCAGGCUUAACACAUGCAAGUCGAGGGGUAUAAGUCUUCGGAUUUAGAGACCGGCGCACGGGUGCGUAACGCGUAUGCAAUCUACCUUUUACAGAGGGAUAGCCCAGAGAAAUUUGGAUUAAUACCUCAUAGCAUAGCAGCUUCGCAUGAAGCCACUAUUAAAGUCACAACGGUAAAAGAUGAGCAUGCGUCCCAUUAGCUAGUUGGUAAGGUAACGGCUUACCAAGGCUACGAUGGGUAGGGGUCCUGAGAGGGAGAUCCCCCACACUGGUACUGAGACACGGACCAGACUCCUACGGGAGGCAGCAGUGAGGAAUAUUGGACAAUGGGCGCAAGCCUGAUCCAGCCAUGCCGCGUGCAGGAUGACGGUCCUAUGGAUUGUAAACUGCUUUUAUACGAGAAGAAACACUCCUUCGUGAAGGAGCUGACGGUAU
RNAcentral lists this ribosomal RNA (468 nucleotides) under Flavobacterium sp. 01WB04.3-24. Its description in RNAcentral is "bacterial SSU rRNA". It matches the Rfam family "Bacterial small subunit ribosomal RNA", at positions 1 to 478 of the family's 1533-position model. The record is from RNAcentral. Lineage: Bacteria; Pseudomonadati; Bacteroidota; Flavobacteriia; Flavobacteriales; Flavobacteriaceae.